This 379-nucleotide unclassified non-coding RNA is filed under the name Hevea brasiliensis (rubber tree). Lineage: Eukaryota; Viridiplantae; Streptophyta; Magnoliopsida; Malpighiales; Euphorbiaceae. The record is from RNAcentral.
AGUAAUCAAGCAUCAAAUACAUCCAUUUCAAAUGCAACACCGGAAGGCAAGCGCGUGGCAACUGCCGCCAAUCCAAAUGCUGAAGAUGCUGCAGAGCUACUAAGAAUGUGCCUGCAUUGUGGCAUUCCCAAGACAUUUUCAAAUGCGCGAGGGAUGUUUUGCCCUUUAUGUGGUGAUCGUCCUCCAGAGCCAGACAGUGAGACAAAAAAGAAGGGAUCUACCGUUAAAGAUAAGGAAAAGAUAAAAAGAAUGAGGGGACAGUCAUCUCAUGCUACUUGGAAGAGUGAAACAGAGAUGCAGCUGAGACAACAGUUUGAUUAGAGUAUUUCAUAUAUUUAUAUAUGUCUUUGAGCUCUUGGAGACUUGUGAUAGGUAGUGU